This 549-nucleotide long non-coding RNA is filed under the name Felis catus (domestic cat). RNAcentral's name for it is "lncRNA (ENSFCAG00000046958.1)". The record is from RNAcentral. Lineage: Eukaryota; Metazoa; Chordata; Mammalia; Carnivora; Felidae.
GUGAUAUUAAGAUAAUGCCAAGUUUUAGGUUUGGAUGUCUAAAAAAUAGCACUGACAUUAUUUGCAAUAGAGAAAAAUUGAUGGCUUUGGUUUAGAAAUUGAUUUGGAGAUGUCCAGUGACCAUCCAGCUGGAAUUAUAGAAAACAGCAUUCAGACACUUAAAUCUGAAGUUCCAGGUUGAAGUUAAGCCUGGAGAUGUAAAUUUUAGAACUGUUGUGUGUUAACUUUAAAGCCUACAUCUGUGUUUCUGUCAUUUAAAGAGGAAGUAUAGACAGAGAAGAUAAAAUGGCUGAGGACUAAGUCUUGGAUUUUUGUAUCUUUACAGGUCAUAAAGAGAAGAAAGAGCCAGGAAAGAGUCGAAAUACAUGUUUGCAGACAACUAGGACCUGCCACGCAUCUGCUUCUGCUGUUACUCCUGGAACGCCAGCUUCCUCGGGACCCACUGAGCCACUCAGGGUGACAGCCACAUAUUGCUAAUCCUUCCUGAGGACUUUCAGCGAGAGGAAAAUGUCAACGAGGAGAUCAUCAUUUGGGGAAGAAGUGAAAACC